CGCCGGGGGGGGGCCGGGGGGGGGCCGGGCGGCGCCCCGCGGGCCCCGCCGGGGGGGGGCCCCCCGGCAGGGCGGGGGCCCCGGCCCCGCCCGGCGCC
Molecule: transfer RNA, 98 nt
Filed under: Streptomyces virginiae
Lineage: Bacteria; Bacillati; Actinomycetota; Actinomycetes; Kitasatosporales; Streptomycetaceae
Description: tRNA-Ala
Source: RNAcentral